Non-coding RNA from Meleagris gallopavo (turkey), 299 nucleotides. The record is from RefSeq and is a predicted model, not a curated record. NCBI's taxonomy places the organism in Eukaryota, Metazoa, Chordata, Aves, Galliformes, Phasianidae.
GCCCCAUGGUGGUGCUGUCCCUCUCAGGGCGGCACAGAGCGGUGAUGGUGCAGCGCUUUGGGGCCGAUGUGGGGCGGCUGCGGCUGGAAGGCACGCGGUUCCUGAUGGAGGCUGCGGCGCUGGAGGAGGAGCUGAGGGCGGAGCUCUCCCGCGUGAGAUCAGCGGAGGGGCGGGGCUUCUGACGACCACGCCCACCACCUGACCACGCCCUCCGCAAAAGACCACGCCCACACCUCGCCCAGCGCGAGGCCACGCCCCUCUCUAUUUUGCAUUAAAGGCACCGCGUGCCCAAAAAUGUC